Molecule: ribosomal RNA, 216 nt
Filed under: Glomeromycotina sp.
Lineage: Eukaryota; Fungi; Glomeromycota
Description: partial small subunit ribosomal RNA
Rfam family: Eukaryotic small subunit ribosomal RNA (bases 40-216)
Source: RNAcentral
GGGUCAGUAGGUUGGUCGUGCCACCGGUACGUACUGGUCUCACUGAUUCCUCCUUCCUGAAGAACCGUAAUGCCAUUAAUUUGGUGUUGCGGGGAAACAGGACUGUUACUUUGAAAAAAUUAGAGUGUUUAAAGCAAGCUAACGCCUGAAUACAUUAGCAUGGAAUGAUGAAAUAGGACGAUCGAUCCUAUUUUGUUGGUUUCUAGGAUUGACGUA